AGAGUUUGAUCCUGGCUCAGGAUGAACGCUGGCGGCGUGCCUAAUACAUGCAAGUCGAGCGAACAGAUAAGGAGCUUGCUCCUUUGACGUUAGCGGCGGACGGGUGAGUAACACGUGGGUAACCUACCUAUAAGACUGGGAUAACUUCGGGAAACCGGAGCUAAUACCGGAUAAUAUUUCGAACCGCAUGGUUCGAUAGUGAAAGAUGGUUUUGCUAUCACUUAUAGAUGGACCCGCGCCGUAUUAGCUAGUUGGUAAGGUAACGGCUUACCAAGGCGACGAUACGUAGCCGACCUGAGAGGGUGAUCGGCCACACUGGAACUGAGACACGGUCCAGACUCCUACGGGAGGCAGCAGUAGGGAAUCUUCCGCAAUGGGCGAAAGCCUGACGGAGCAACGCCGCGUGAGUGAUGAAGGUCUUCGGAUCGUAAAACUCUGUUAUUAGGGAAGAACAUACGUGUAAGUAACUGUGCACGUCUUGACGGUACCUAAUCAGAAAGCCACGGCUAACUACGUGCCAGCAGCCGCGGUAAUACGUAGGUGGCAAGCGUUAUCCGGAAUUAUUGGGCGUAAAGCGCGCGUAGGCGGUUUUUUAAGUCUGAUGUGAAAGCCCACGGCUCAACCGUGGAGGGUCAUUGGAAACUGGAAAACUUGAGUGCAGAAGAGGAAAGUGGAAUUCCAUGUGUAGCGGUGAAAUGCGCAGAGAUAUGGAGGAACACCAGUGGCGAAGGCGACUUUCUGGUCUGUAACUGACGCUGAUGUGCGAAAGCGUGGGGAUCAAACAGGAUUAGAUACCCUGGUAGUCCACGCCGUAAACGAUGAGUGCUAAGUGUUAGGGGGUUUCCGCCCCUUAGUGCUGCAGCUAACGCAUUAAGCACUCCGCCUGGGGAGUACGACCGCAAGGUUGAAACUCAAAGGAAUUGACGGGGACCCGCACAAGCGGUGGAGCAUGUGGUUUAAUUCGAAGCAACGCGAAGAACCUUACCAAAUCUUGACAUCCUUUGACAACUCUAGAGAUAGAGUUUUCCCCUUCGGGGGACAAAGUGACAGGUGGUGCAUGGUUGUCGUCAGCUCGUGUCGUGAGAUGUUGGGUUAAGUCCCGCAACGAGCGCAACCCUUAAGCUUAGUUGCCAUCAUUAAGUUGGGCACUCUAAGUUGACUGCCGGUGACAAACCGGAGGAAGGUGGGGAUGACGUCAAAUCAUCAUGCCCCUUAUGAUUUGGGCUACACACGUGCUACAAUGGACAAUACAAAGGGCAGCGAAACCGCGAGGUCAAGCAAAUCCCAUAAAGUUGUUCUCAGUUCGGAUUGUAGUCUGCAACUCGACUACAUGAAGCUGGAAUCGCUAGUAAUCGUAGAUCAGCAUGCUACGGUGAAUACGUUCCCGGGUCUUGUACACACCGCCCGUCACACCACGAGAGUUUGUAACACCCGAAGCCGGUGGAGUAACCAUUUGGAGCUAGCCGUCGAAGGUGGGACAAAUGAUUGGGGUGAAGUCGUAACAAGGUAACC
Molecule: ribosomal RNA, 1512 nt
Filed under: Staphylococcus haemolyticus
Lineage: Bacteria; Bacillati; Bacillota; Bacilli; Caryophanales; Staphylococcaceae
Description: bacterial SSU rRNA
Rfam family: Bacterial small subunit ribosomal RNA
Source: RNAcentral